UUUCCGUUUAAAUGGGCAAAAAAACGGAUUACAAACGGUUAGUAAACGGAUGCCGUAAAGCGUUUUCACGCUUCGUUAAAACGUUAAAACGGUUCGAUGAAAAAAUUUAACGCUUUCAAGAAAGCGUUUUUACGCUUUGGUGAAAGCGUUUGCACGGAUACGAAUAACCGUUUAAACGCACAGAAAAAUGAACCGUUUUUUUGGAUGGGCCUAUUCAUCCGUAUAAACGGUUUGACGAAUUUAUAUACCCAAUUUCACGGACGAAACCAGACGAUUUGGGGAAUCCUUUGAUCGCAGACCAUGAUACUGGUGUUUAAAUCAAACAACGGUAAAAUAUGUCAACUGUCUGUUGCAUGGGCAUGUUUGAUAUACCGGGAGGGGGGAAAUGAUUAACAGGAAAUUGCAUUCCGGAUAUUAAAUUGUAAUCAUGCAUUUGGCAUGUAUGGUCAUUGCACAUUUGCGCUUUGAAGGCUGUUGCCAGCUAUAUAAAUCGGCGCACGGGAUCGGCGAAGUGAACAAAUAUGAAAUGGCGCCAAUCAAGUUCAUAAGCACGCGGGUAAAGAUCUUUACCAAUAAUUUCGCGAAGUCCUAUCCCAAAUAUUUGCUGGAUAUUCAAAUCUAUGGAUACGUCGAGGUGUUUUAACACGUGCAUAUAAAGACUAUAUGACAAAAGAAAGUUGCUGUUUGGUCAAGAUCACUUUGGCUCAGUCGAACAUCGUAAAAUCGAACAUCGUUUGCCAGAGGUUCAAAGAGGUUUGAGUACUUUAAUUGGGUGGUCACAAAACUGAGAUAACAUAAAUAGGUGCAUCUGCACUCAAACACCAGAAAUUUUUCUUAACCAAAAAUUGCAUGCAAAUUCCUAAGUAAUUUGUGUGUAGAUGCAACCUUAUUAAUUCCUAAGCUGAGACAGGCAGGACAGGCAAAUAAGAUUUUUCCAGACACGAGAGUCAGUAGAUACAUUUUAUGCAUCAACACAUAAUGUUUCUGGAGAAGUCUUGCUUGCCGGGUAAUCGUAGGCAGGGGGCACAAAUUGUGUCACAAUUAGAUGUCUCGAAGAUGAUGUGGAUUGAUUUUUUGUUAUAAUGGUGAGUAUAAACUCCCCUGUCCGUGCGUUUGGGAUUGUCGCGUCUAUAUGGGCGACUGCACUGCUAUAUGCUUUGCAGAAAAAAUUGUGCGCAUUUUUGACAGUUUCGAUCCGCUGUUUCUAUAAGGGCAGUAUAUGUAAUUGCUAUAUGUUUUGGCUAAAAAAUUGUGCACCUUUGCGCCGGGAUGGAGUAUUAAGUUGCUUUUCAGGGCGGAAAUCUUGACGUUUGGAUUACAGAACGCAGGCCUUCGAUCCCAUAUUCAACUAACAAAAACUUUUUUUCAUGCAGUGUAGCGCAGAUAGCGUAUAAUAUUAUUCAGAUAACAUGCUAGCUAUAUUCUACUGUUAAAGUUUUGGCAGAUGCUCUAAAAUAUGGAAGGAGAUAAAGUAUUUCAUUAUGAAAUAUUUAGAGAUAUUUUGUGACCACCAAGAAUUCUUAGUUAAGUAAGAUUUGACAUAGAGCUCAUAUUUUUCCUACAGAGGUCAAAUCUUUUCAAUAACAUACAUAAAUAUUGCGUCAAUUUUAAGUACGGAUUAGAAUAAUCUGAUUAUACAGCAUAAGGCUAUUAUGACUGUGUAGUCGUGUGCUCUCAAAAUUAAAGCAUAUAUAACUAGUCUAAAAAGCGAUCGAUAUGGCAGAAAAACGGCGAGUUUAUAUAUAUCAUACCGAUCGUGAUUUUUUACCAACCCAUUUUCAAACUUCGACACGCACUGGCGAAGAUUGUUUAAAUGCACUUUGUUGAAAAUAUUGUGAAAAUGUGUAAUAUAGCGUAUAUAAAAGUCAGUGUCUGAUAUAAUAUAACAGGAAACUCGCACACGAUCCUAUAACGCAUUAAUUAGUUGUUUUUGCCAAAAUGGAUCAUGAAUGUGCGUAUUUAUUAUAUCUAUAUAAGUAUUUGCAUAACAAAUACCAGAUAUCUCUCGUUAUAAUUAGUUGAAUUAUUUUUGCAUCUCAGAUAUGUUGCUUAGUAUGUGUAUAGAAUUUAAUUGCUGUAAUAAAUUUUAAACUAUAUGUCUUCUCACACGCACUAUAGAAAUAGGUACAUUUAUAAUUGCGAAAAAGCAUUUUGGGGCCUGUUGACCCAGGUGAUGGGUUUCUGGCAGUGCAAGUUGGCAAAUCAUCAAGGGCGGCUGUGUCUUCGC
RNA transcript from Dendronephthya gigantea, 2227 nucleotides. It is a transcript of the gene named zinc finger protein 271-like, with no coding region annotated. The transcript has 3 exons. NCBI's taxonomy places the organism in Eukaryota, Metazoa, Cnidaria, Anthozoa, Malacalcyonacea, Nephtheidae. The record is from RefSeq and is a predicted model, not a curated record.